UGUGAAAGGAAAGAGGAAGUUGCAGUUAGGGCUGAAGGGGAAAGGAGGAGGAGGAGGAGGUCAUUGGCCUUCCACCGUGUUAGACCACCACCAUAAUACUCAGUAAUUUAUCCUAGGGCAGAAGCCUUGCACCAGCUACUCAGGAGGCUGAAUCAGAAGGACUGCAAAUUCAAGCCCAGCCUAGAUUCACUGGAUAGAAGCAGUGUCAGGAGUUCUCUCGGCCAGGUACAGUUCACCUCCGCGGCCAAGCCGGUGCCCUCCCGCCCUGUUCAGCCCCUCUACAUGGAGCCCUGGGGUCCCUGCAGCCGGCUCUGGGCUCAGCCCUGCCCGGAACAUCGAAAGUUAAAGGAAGAAGAUCAAAGCUUUUCUGAUGACUUCACACAGUGGGGUGUGGUAAGGUCACCCUGGUCCUGCUGGGCACUGCUAUUUCAUUCUUCUGUGACAGAGUCUCCCACCUCAUAGUCCAGGCUGGCCUUGGACUGGUGAUUCUCCUGCUUCAGCCUCUCACCUGCUGGGACCACAGGUCUGCAUUACCAUGCCCAGUUAUUCCUUUUCAUGCUUGAGUAAAAUUCUGUUGCAAAGCUCUUAGGUUUUUCUAAAAUCCAUUUUUGGCUAUUAAGAGUAAUGCUGAUUUGAACAAUCAUGGACAGGUUUUGUUU
RNAcentral lists this long non-coding RNA (659 nucleotides) under Cavia porcellus (domestic guinea pig). RNAcentral describes it as "lncRNA (ENSCPOG00000030783.1)". The record is from RNAcentral. Lineage: Eukaryota; Metazoa; Chordata; Mammalia; Rodentia; Caviidae.